CCUACGGGGUGCAGCAGUGGGGAAUAUUGCACAAUGGGGGAAACCCUGAUGCAGCGACGCCGCGUGAGUGAAGAAGUAUUUCGGUACGUAAAGCUCUAUCAGCAGGGAAGAAAAUGACGGUACCUGACUAAGAAGCCCCGGCUAACUACGUGCCAGCAGCCGCGGUAAUACGUAGGGGGCAAGCGUUAUCCGGAUUUACUGGGUGUAAAGGGAGCGUAGACGGCAGCGCAAGUCUGGAGUGAAAUCCCAUGGCUUAACCAUGGAACUGCUUUGGAAACUGUGCAGCUAGAGUGCAGGAGAGGUAAGCGGAGUUCCUAGUGUAGCGGUGAAAUGCGUAGAUAUUAGGAGGAACACCAGUGGCGAAGGCGGCUUACUGGACUGUAACUGACGUUGAGGCUCGAAAGCGUGGGGAGCAAACAGGAUUAGAUACCCUAGUAGUC
Molecule: ribosomal RNA, 440 nt
Filed under: uncultured bacterium
Lineage: Bacteria
Description: partial 16S ribosomal RNA
Rfam family: Bacterial small subunit ribosomal RNA
Source: RNAcentral